Molecule: long non-coding RNA, 924 nt
Organism: Centropristis striata (black sea bass)
Lineage: Eukaryota; Metazoa; Chordata; Actinopteri; Perciformes; Serranidae
Exons: 4
Source: RefSeq, a predicted model, not a curated record
UUAGGUAAAGUCCUAAUAGCCAUAAACAAAAUGUCCACUGUACAUAAUGGAUUAAUAGAAAUAUUUGACAAUACAAUGAAAUUAACCGCCGUUAUAAUGAGAGGUUGAGAGCAGUAAAGUAACGGUUACCCGAACAGACUCAGCUCAAUUUCUACUUGUUGCCAGGUAACCUAACGUUAGCUUCAAUAAAACUAAAGUUAGCAGGUAACGUUAACGACUUUAACUCGAUUCUUAAUUUCAACAGUCACAAAUACUUGAUUGGCCGGAUAUUAUCCUCACUCACGAGUUUCCUGUUUCCUGUUUGCCAACCGCCAAAAAGAAGAAAAUGAAGAAGAGGGAAAAAAAUAAAAAUAAUAAGUAGCUUCUAGCUCAAUUUAAAACCAAAAUUGACUUGUUUCAUGGUCGACAACAGGGGAAGAGAUAGAUGUUGUAAACACUGGGGCUAAGCCUAAACCUAGCAGCAGAGCGUCCCAGGUGUGUGAGAGCAUGUGUGUUCCUUCAUCCCGGUUUAUUGUUGUAUUCCCCCAUCUUCUGAUCUCUAGUGGUCAACCUGACAAACCUGCCAGUUGUCAGGUUGACCACGCCCCAUGAGGAACUCCACAAAAGACACGUCACAGCGAUCAGCUGACACCACUGAAGAAGACUGAAGUUGUCAGUCGAAACAUGUCAGAAGAACUUACAGACCAAAAACAGAGAGAACCAUGUCAUGGUGUAUGCUGCCACCAUGUGGGACAUCUCUACGGCCAGUUAACUGUGGAUUUAAAGCAACUGAUCUGGUGCAGAACAAACAGGAGCCUACAACUUUAGAGGGCAGCAGUUGCCCCUCCUGAUCCGACCACUGUCGACUCUCCUCAGCCCACCUGAUGCUCUCCGCGGCUGAUGUGAGACGAGAACUCGUAGCGGUCCUGGCUGCGGUGGCCACAG